RNAcentral lists this long non-coding RNA (201 nucleotides) under Populus trichocarpa (black cottonwood). RNAcentral's name for it is "long non-coding RNA (PTRI_LNC001545)". Lineage: Eukaryota; Viridiplantae; Streptophyta; Magnoliopsida; Malpighiales; Salicaceae. The record is from RNAcentral.
CCCUUUUUUUUUUACAAGGAAACAAACAAAGGAUAGGGGACGUUUGAAUUUUUAAAAGAAGUAGGAAUAUGAGGUUCUGAUGCUUGUUUGACUAUCGAGUUUGAGGAAUAUUGAAGACUUGAGGUGCUGGAAUCUUAGUUGGGCUUGGUCUAAUAUUUUACGCCAAUAAUUUCAGAAAGCUAUAAAAUUGGGCGCCGGCAA